GAUUGAAGAACGCAGCGAAAUGCGAUACGUAAUGUGAAUUGCAAAUUCAGUGAAUCAUCGAGUCUUUGAACGCACAUUGCGCCCCCUGGUAUUCCGGGGGGCAUGCCUGUCCGAGCGUCAUUGCUGCCCUCAAGCACGGCUUGUGUGUUGGGCCCCGUCCUCCGAUCCCGGGGGACGGGCCCGAAAGGCAGCGGCGGCACCGCGUCCGGUCCUCGAGCGUAUGGGGCUUUGUCACCCGCUCUGUAGGCCCGGCCGGCGCUUGCCGAUCAACCCAAAUUUUUAUCCAGGUUGACCUCGGAUCAGGUAGGGAUACCCGCUGAACUUAAGCAUAUCAAUAAGCGGAGGA
RNAcentral lists this unclassified non-coding RNA (346 nucleotides) under soil metagenome. Its description in RNAcentral is "partial contains 5.8S ribosomal RNA, internal transcribed spacer 2, and large subunit ribosomal RNA". The stretch from base 4 to 120 matches the Rfam family "5.8S ribosomal RNA", at positions 37 to 154 of the family's 154-position model. The record is from RNAcentral.